GACGAACGCUGGCGGCGUGCUUAACACAUGCAAGUCGAACGGAAAGGCCCUGCUUUUGUGGGGUGCUCGAGUGGCGAACGGGUGAGUAACACGUGAGUAACCUGCCCUUGACUUUGGGAUAACUUCAGGAAACUGGGGCUAAUACCGGAUAGGAGCUCCUGCUGCAUGGUGGGGGUUGGAAAGUUUCGGCGGUUGGGGAUGGACUCGCGGCUUAUCAGCUUGUUGGUGGGGUAGUGGCUUACCAAGGCUUUGACGGGUAGCCGGCCUGAGAGGGUGACCGGCCGCGUGGGGAAUGAUAUCCGGCCCAGAGGCCGCGGGGGGGAAGAGGGGGGGAUGCGGCCAAAGGGGGGGGAAGCAAAAGCCACAAACGCCCCGGGGGGGAGCACGGCCUCCGGGUGUAAACCCCUUUCCCCUGGUGCCGAACGGAGGUGGAAGGUAGGGAGUAAAGAGACCCCGGCAAUCUCCUGC
Molecule: ribosomal RNA, 468 nt
Filed under: uncultured bacterium
Lineage: Bacteria
Description: partial 16S ribosomal RNA
Rfam family: Bacterial small subunit ribosomal RNA
Source: RNAcentral